AUUGAACGCUGGCGGCAGGCCUAACACAUGCAAGUCGAACGGUAACAGGAAGCAGCUUGCUGCUUCGCUGACGAGUGGCGGACGGGUGAGUAAUGUCUGGGAAACUGCCUGAUGGAGGGGGAUAACUACUGGAAACGGUAGCUAAUACCGCAUAACGUCGCAAGACCAAAGAGGGGGACCUUAGGGCCUCUUGCCAUCGGAUGUGCCCAGAUGGGAUUAGCUAGUAGGUGGGGUAACGGCUCACCUAGGCGACGAUCCCUAGCUGGUCUGAGAGGAUGACCAGCCACACUGGAACUGAGACACGGUCCAGACUCCUACGGGAGGCAGCAGUGGGGAAUAUUGCACAAUGGGCGCAAGCCUGAUGCAGCCAUGCCGCGUGUAUGAAGAAGGCCUUCGGGUUGUAAAGUACUUUCGGCGGGGAGGAAGGGAGUAAAGUUAAUACCUUUGCUCAUUGACGUUACCCGCAGAAGAAGCACCGGCUAACUCCGUG
This 490-nucleotide ribosomal RNA is filed under the name uncultured bacterium. RNAcentral describes it as "partial 16S ribosomal RNA". It matches the Rfam family "Bacterial small subunit ribosomal RNA", at positions 30 to 507 of the family's 1533-position model. The record is from RNAcentral.